GUGAAUCAUCGAAUCUUUGAACGCAAAUUGCGCUUCCUAGCAUCCCGGGAAGUAUGCCUGUUUGAGGGUCAGUAUUAACAAAAAAAUCGGUUUGGUUGCAAAUUGUGACGUUUCCGGAGUUUGGGCUAUCUUAACUUUUUUGGUUAAGGGGCUUAAAAUUGACCUUUUUUGCGCAUUUUUUGACGUACAUUAAUUUUUUUUUUUUUUGCCUUUUUCUUAUUCCCAAAUUCUUUUAAAUUGCA
Molecule: unclassified non-coding RNA, 242 nt
Filed under: Glomeraceae sp.
Lineage: Eukaryota; Fungi; Glomeromycota; Glomeromycetes; Glomerales; Glomeraceae
Description: partial contains 5.8S ribosomal RNA and internal transcribed spacer 2
Rfam family: 5.8S ribosomal RNA (bases 1-71)
Source: RNAcentral